RNAcentral lists this long non-coding RNA (621 nucleotides) under Lactuca sativa (garden lettuce). RNAcentral describes it as "long non-coding RNA (LSAT_LNC001729)". The record is from RNAcentral. Lineage: Eukaryota; Viridiplantae; Streptophyta; Magnoliopsida; Asterales; Asteraceae.
GGGAUGCCAGGUGUCCAUGUUGAUGGCAUGGAUGUGUUGAAGGUGAGGGAGGUAGCAAAGGAGGCUAUUGGGAGAGCUAGGAGAGGAGAAGGCCCAACUUUGGUUGAAUGUGAGACUUACAGAUUCAGAGGACACUCUUUGGCUGAUCCUGAUGAGCUUCGUGACCCAGGUGAGUUGCUUUUAAGAUUUGAAAUUUGUAUAUACAUAAGAUUUGAAAUUUGUUGUGAUUGUAUAUUUGUAUUGUGAAUUGCAGCUGAGAAGGCUCAUUAUGCAACAAGGGAUCCAAUAACAGGAUUGAAGAAAUACCUGAUUGAAAACAAACUGGCAAGUGAAGCAGAUUUAAAGGCGAUAGAGAAGAAGAUAGAUGAGGUGGUUGAGGAAGCUGUGGAGUUUGCAGAUGAAAGCCCUGCUCCUUCAAGAAGCCAACUGCUGGAAAAUGUGUUUGCAGAUCCAAGAGGGUUUGGAAUUGGACCUGAUGGAAGUUACAGGUGUGAGGAUCCUAAGUUUACUGAAGGCACUGCUCAGGUCUAGUCUAUUGCUAAGCUUUUGUUUCUUUACUUCUCAUGUUGUCCAUCUUUUUAUUAUUAUUAUUAUUAUUAUUAUUAUUAUUAUGAACUGUUA